This 1489-nucleotide long non-coding RNA is filed under the name Apteryx rowi (Okarito brown kiwi). Its description in RNAcentral is "lncRNA (ENSARWG00000000061.1)". The record is from RNAcentral. Lineage: Eukaryota; Metazoa; Chordata; Aves; Apterygiformes; Apterygidae.
CAGGCUCAGAAUUGACUCAAAAAAGGAUACCUCUAAAAGUGUUUARUUGUACCAUAUCUGUGUUCUAGCUUCGAGUGUUUCAUUUUCCCGAGAUAGCUCCUCCUAAGCAGGGUUACUGUUCAGAGAGUGGAAAUCUGAUUAAGUGGGUCCCAAAUAAACAUCGAAAAUGUCAAAAGCCUGGACUGCAAGCAGUGUCAGAGUUGAAGCCUGUAAGACAGAUAUGUGUUAAAGACCUUGCCUCUGAAAGUCUCAGUGACCUUAAAGAAGCGCAAAGCCAAGGACGAGACGUUGACACGAGAAGAAUGAAAUCCAGGAAAAUCCCUGCAGGAGGCCAGCCCAGUCUCAUGUAUCCAAAGAGAAGCCAGAUACUUAGCUGCCCAUCCAAAACAAUAAAAUCACUUCUAAACUACAAAACCGAAGGUUUUGCAGAAAAAGAUGGGGUACUAAGCCAGUCUUGCCCUGGACGGCUGCAGAUUGCAACCAUGGUGGAGCUGCAAGAUGAGGGUGGCCUGAAGCUGAUGAACAGGCAACCAGGCUUGUCUGAUGCUAAACCAAAGUCAUCCCGUCCCUUGCUGGUGCAAAAGGCUCCAGUAAUGGUGAAUUUGAAAGAAAAAAGCACACAAAGCAUCAAAAACAGCCAGUAUCUGAAGAAACCAACAAAAAUUAAAACCGGACCAAGUAUUAAAAUAAAAACUCCAGACAGCAUGCCCUUGUGCCUCUUUUCGAAACUGGAAGAACAGCCGGACUACUCAGAUCUGUUUGCAUUUCCUGCUGAGUUUCUGCAGUGCUGCRCAGACGGUGGCCCUGAGCAGCCCCCUGCCGAGCUGGAUCUGUCACCCAAAACAUUUAAAGAGGGCAUGCAUCAUGGAAAGGAGAGCCCUGUGGCACAGCUCGUGGAGCUCUGGAGAAGGAGAUCUUCUGGGAAGUCUGUGCUGGGCAAGAGUAGCACAGCAAAUCUGGUGCCUCAGGGUGUUGAAGAGCACAAGCAGCCUUUGACAAGAAAAGGGAGCUGGGACAACAUAUACUCCAGGCGCGCUGUGAGCAGGGAGGAUGGUACAUKGGCACUGUGCUACAUCCAGGAAGUCCAGUAUCCGGGCAGAGCAGUUCCACUAGCCAAAGAGGAAUUUGAAGAUGACCCUUCCUACAAACCACCGCCACCACCGCCUCCUCCUUCUCCUUGCCUACAGGAGGACUCUAAUGAGGUUUCUUCAGAGAGAACAUCCCCUGCCUUUGAAGGGCUCAGCAGUCAAGACAGUCUUAUCUGUUAAGCCUUCAUCAAACAACGGCUGAGGGAACCUGUCCUGGCACUGGCCCGCUCCUAUCUCAGCUCCUGUCUCACCUGUGUUUGGGGCCCCCUCCACCGUGUUUCCCUUGCCAGCCACAGGGCAGGUGAGGGAAGCAGCUGGGCACUUUCUACAGUCUCUAAAYGUUCAGGACAGGUAAAAAUCUCUGAGAUCUGAAAAUAAAAGAAGAGCUUCUCACUCUCCCA